RNAcentral lists this ribosomal RNA (523 nucleotides) under uncultured bacterium. Its description in RNAcentral is "bacterial SSU rRNA". It matches the Rfam family "Bacterial small subunit ribosomal RNA", at positions 29 to 526 of the family's 1533-position model. The record is from RNAcentral.
AGCGAACGUUAGCGGCGGGCCUAACACAUGCAAGUCGAACGAGAAUGUAGGCUUCGGUCUACUAGUAAAGUGGCGGACGGGUGCGUAACACGUGGGUAAUCUACCUUCCGGCGGGGGACAACAGUCCGAAAGGAUUGCUAAUACCGCAUACGUCAGCGGCGCCUACGGGCGCUGUUGGGAAAGAUGGCCUCUCCUUGGAAGCUAUCACCGGAAGAUGAGCCCGCGUCCCAUCAGCUAGUUGGUGAGGUAAUGGCUCACCAAGGCUUAGACGGGUAGCUGGUCUGAGAGGAUGAUCAGCCACACUGGGACUGCGACACGGCCCAGACUCCUACGGGAGGCAGCAGUGGGGAAUAUUGGGCAAUGGGCGAAAGCCUGACCCAGCCACGCCGCGUGAGUGAUGAAGGCCUUCGGGUCGUAAAGCUCUGUGGGGAGGGACGAACAAGUCUGGGGCUAAUCACCCGGGCCCUGACGGUACCUCCUUAGCAAGCACCGGCUAACCCUGUGCCAGCCGCCGCCGUAAAAC